CACUCCUGCGGGAGACAGCAGUGGGGAAUUUUGGACAAUGGGCGAAAGCCUGAUCCAGCAAUGCCGCGUGAGUGAAGAAGGCCUUCGGGUUGUAAAGCUCUUUUGUCAGGGAAGAAACGGUGAAAGCUAAUAUCUUUUGCUAAUGACGGUACCUGAAGAAUAAGCACCGGCUAACUACGUGCCAGCAGCCGCGGUAAUACGUAGGGUGCAAGCGUUAAUCGGAAUUACUGGGCGUAAAGCGUGCGCAGGCGGUUUUGUAAGUCUGAUGUGAAAUCCCCGGGCUCAACCUGGGAAUUGCAUUGGAGACUGCAAGGCUAGAAUCUGGCAGAGGGGGGUAGAAUUCCACGUGUAGCAGUGAAAUGCGUAGAUAUGUGGAGGAACACCGAUGGCGAAGGCAGCCCCCUGGGUCAAGAUUGACGCUCAUGCACGAAAGCGUGGGGAGCAAACAGGAUUAGAAACCCCGGUAGUCCCAUG
Molecule: ribosomal RNA, 474 nt
Filed under: uncultured organism
Description: partial 16S ribosomal RNA
Rfam family: Bacterial small subunit ribosomal RNA
Source: RNAcentral